RNAcentral lists this ribosomal RNA (849 nucleotides) under Botryosphaeria aterrima. RNAcentral describes it as "eukaryotic LSU rRNA". It matches the Rfam family "Eukaryotic large subunit ribosomal RNA", at positions 76 to 943 of the family's 3401-position model. The record is from RNAcentral. Lineage: Eukaryota; Fungi; Ascomycota; Dothideomycetes; Botryosphaeriales; Botryosphaeriaceae.
UGCCUUAGUAACGGCGAGUGAAGCGGCAACAGCUCAAAUUUGAAAGCUGGCUCCUUUGGAGUCCGCGUUGUAAUUUGUAGAGGAUGAUUCGGCAAGGGCUCCCGCCUAAGUCUCCUGGAACGGAGCGUCAUAGAGGGUGAGAAUCCCGUAUGCGGUGGGCUGCCUAAGCCAUGUGAAUCUCCUUCGACGAGUCGAGUUGUUUGGGAAUGCAGCUCUAAAUGGGAGGUAAAUUUCUUCUAAAGCUAAAUACCGGCCAGAGACCGAUAGCGCACAAGUAGAGUGAUCGAAAGAUGAAAAGCACUUUGGAAAGAGAGUUAAAAAGUACGUGAAAUUGUUGAAAGGGAAGCGCUUGCAGCCAGACUUGUCCGCAGUUGCUCAGCCGGUCUCCUGACCGGUGUACUCUUCUGCGGCCAGGCCAGCAUCAGUUCGGGCGGUCGGAUAAAGACCUCGGGAAUGUAGCUCCUCUCGGGGAGUGUUAUAGCCCGGGGUGGAAUGCGGCCAGCCUGGACUGAGGAUCUCGCUUCGGCUAGGAUGCUGGCGUAAUGGCUGUAAGCGGCCCGUCUUGAAACACGGACCAAGGAGUCUAACAUCUAUGCGAGUGUUUGGGUGUCAAACCCAUGCGCGUAAUGAAAGUGAACGGAGGUGGGAACCCUCACGGGUGCACCAUCGACCGAUCCUGAUGUCUUCGGAUGGAUUUGAGUAAGAGCAUAGCUGUUGGGACCCGAAAGAUGGUGAACUAUGCCUGAAUAGGGUGAAGCCAGAGGAAACUCUGGUGGAGGCUCGCAGCGGUUCUGACGUGCAAAUCGAUCGUCAAAUUUGGGUAUAGGGGCGAAAGACUAAUCGAACCAU